This 468-nucleotide ribosomal RNA is filed under the name uncultured bacterium. Its description in RNAcentral is "partial 16S ribosomal RNA". It matches the Rfam family "Bacterial small subunit ribosomal RNA", at positions 28 to 507 of the family's 1533-position model. The record is from RNAcentral.
GACGAACGCUGGCGGCGUGCUUAACACAUGCAAGUCGAACGGAAAGGCCCUGCUUUUGUGGGGUGCUCGAGUGGCGAACGGGUGAGUAACACGUGAGUAACCUGCCCUUGACUUUGGGAUAACUUCAGGAAACUGGGGCUAAUACCGGAUAGGAGCUCCUGCUGCAUGGUGGGGGUUGGAAAGUUUCGGCGGUUGGGGAUGGACUCGCGGCUUAUCAGCUUGUUGGCGGGGUAGUGGCUUACCAAGGCUUUGACGGGUAGCCGGCCUGAGAGGGUGACCGGCCACAUUGGGACUGAGAUACGGCCCAGAAUCCUACGGGAGGCAGCAGUGGGGAAUAUUGCAAAAUGGGCGGAAGCCUGAUGAAGCAACGCCGGGUGCGGGAUGACGGCCUUCGGGUUGUAAACAGAUUUCGACUGUGACGAAGAGUGAGUGACGGUAAUGGGUAAAGAAGCACCGGCUAACUACGUG